AUUGAACGCUGGCGGCAUGCUUUACACAUGCAAGUCGAGCGGCAGCGCGGGGGCAACCCUGGCGGCGAGCGGCGAACGGGUGAGUAAUGCAUCGGAACGUAUCCUCGAGUGGGGGAUAACCCAGCGAAAGUUGGGCUAAUACCGCAUGAGCUCUGAGGAGGAAAGCGGGGGACCUGCGAGGGCCUCGCGCUGGAGGAGCGGCCGAUGACCGAUUAGCUAGUUGGUGGGGUAAAGGCUUACCAAGGCGACGAUCGGUAGCUGGUCUGAGAGGAUGAUCAGCCACACUGGGACUGGGACACGGCACAGACUCCUACGGGAGGCAGCAGUGGGGAAUUUUGGACAAUGGGGGCAACCCUGAUCCAGCAAUGCCGCGUGAGUGAAGAAGGCCUUCGGGUUGUAAAGCUCUUUCGGACGGAACGAAAUGGGCGGAAAUAAUACUCCUGUCUGAUGGCGGUACCGUAAGAAGAAGCACCGGCUAACUACGUG
RNAcentral lists this ribosomal RNA (486 nucleotides) under uncultured bacterium. Its description in RNAcentral is "partial 16S ribosomal RNA". It matches the Rfam family "Bacterial small subunit ribosomal RNA", at positions 29 to 507 of the family's 1533-position model. The record is from RNAcentral.